CAGUAGCCGCGGUAAUACGAAGGGGGCUAGCGUUGCUCGGAAUGACUGGGCGUAAAGGGCGCGUAGGCGGAUGGAACAGUCAGAUGUGAAAUUCCCGGGCUUAACCUGGGGGCUGCAUUUGAUACGUGUUGUCUAGAGUGAGGAAGAGGGUCGUGGAAUUCCCAGUGUAGAAGUGAAAUUCGUAGAUAUUGGGAAGAACACCGGUGGCGAAGGCGGCGACCUGGUCCUUUACUGACGCUGAGGCGCGAAAGCGUGAGGAGCAAACAGGAUUAGAUACCCGCGUAGUCCCUGUCUCUUAUAC
RNAcentral lists this ribosomal RNA (301 nucleotides) under uncultured bacterium. Its description in RNAcentral is "partial 16S ribosomal RNA". It matches the Rfam family "Bacterial small subunit ribosomal RNA", at positions 509 to 807 of the family's 1533-position model. The record is from RNAcentral.